GACGAACGCUGGCGGCGUGCCUAAUACAUGCAAGUCGAGCGCAGGAAGUCAUCCGAACCCUUCGGGGGGACGUUGACGGAAUGAGCGGCGGACGGGUGAGUAACACGUAAAGAACCUGCCCUCAGGUCUGGGAUAACCACGAGAAAUCGGGGCUAAUACCGGAUGGGUCAUCGGACCGCAUGGUCCGAGGAUGAAAGGCGCUCCGGCGUCGCCUGGCGAUGGCUUUGCGGUGCAUUAGCUAGUUGGUGGGGUAAUGGCCCACCAAGGCGACGAUGCAUAGCCGACCUGAGAGGGUGAUCGGCCACACUGGGACUGAGACACGGCCCAGACUCCUACGGGAGGCAGCAGUAGGGAAUCUUCCACAAUGGACGAAAGUCUGAUGGAGCAACGCCGCGUGAACGAUGAAGGCCCUCGGGUCGUAAAGUUCUGUUGUAAGGGAAGAACAAGUGCCGCAGGCAAUGGCGGCACCUUGACGGUACCUUGCGAGAAAGCCACGGCUAACUACGUG
This 508-nucleotide ribosomal RNA is filed under the name uncultured bacterium. Its description in RNAcentral is "partial 16S ribosomal RNA". It matches the Rfam family "Bacterial small subunit ribosomal RNA", at positions 28 to 507 of the family's 1533-position model. The record is from RNAcentral.